GUGAUGAGGGGAUUCUCUGCGACGUGUGAGCUGGUCCUCGAUCGCUGA
RNAcentral lists this small nucleolar RNA (48 nucleotides) under Pyrobaculum neutrophilum V24Sta. Its description in RNAcentral is "PNEsR04". The record is from RNAcentral. Lineage: Archaea; Thermoproteati; Thermoproteota; Thermoprotei; Thermoproteales; Thermoproteaceae.